UCUCUGGCGGUCCAGUGGUUAUGACCCAGCGUUACCACUGCUGAGGGCCUGGGUUCAAUCCCUGGUCGGGGAA
This 73-nucleotide transfer RNA is filed under the name Bos taurus (domestic cattle). It matches the Rfam family "tRNA". From Rfam's summary of the family: Transfer RNA (tRNA) molecules are approximately 80 nucleotides in length. RNAcentral also lists the same sequence under 4 other names. The record is from Rfam by way of RNAcentral. Lineage: Eukaryota; Metazoa; Chordata; Mammalia; Artiodactyla; Bovidae.